AAUAUCAUCAAAUAAUAUACGAAAAAAAUAAAAUAAAAAACACACGCUAUCAGCAAAGAACCGCCUUGAGUUUCCCCUUCCCACACUUCUCUUUGCUCUGCAAAACUUUCAUUGUCAAGACUUCCCUUUUCACGGCGAAACCCACGGCGGCGAUUUCCCUUCUCACGGAGGCGUGCUUCCCUUCUCACUGCGAAACCCACGGCGGCGAUUUCCCUUCUCACGGAGGCGAGCUUCCCUUCUCACGGCGAAAGUGAAUAAUCGAAUUUGAAGAUAAAGAAGUUGUAGUGCUCAUACGUCUUUUAGUCGGAGAGUUCAGAGAUCUCCUGAACUUUGGAUGCCUUACUGGUGUUGAGGAUAGUCUAAGAGUAUGGCUUUCUCAUGGUGGCAGCUUCGCGAAUAACACCUGAAGCUAUAGACUUUUUAAUGAACCGAGGAUCUGGGAUCAUCUAUGUGACAGUUGAAGGGGGAGGCUUGGAGAAACUGCAGUCCCCUUUUAUGUGUUUUUCAGAUUGUCAUUUUCCAAGUUAUGAUAAAGAGCAGAUUGAUGAAGUAAAUACUCAUUUGGUGCGCUAUGUUCAACAAAUGUAUAGUAGCUUGAUAGAUUACAUUGAAGGAAUAAAAAAACAACUCUACUAGUUAAUGUGUUUUGCGUAGUUUAAUGUUUGGGGGCUUAUUUUAGAACAUAUUUAUGUAAUUAGUUAUUAUAGUGACAAUUGCAAAUUUCUUUUUAUUGGAGGAUUGGAAUUAAUAUUUAACUAUUUACUAUAUUA
This is a long non-coding RNA of Spinacia oleracea (spinach), 770 nucleotides long. RefSeq lists it as uncharacterized. The transcript has 4 exons. The record is from RefSeq and is a predicted model, not a curated record. NCBI's taxonomy places the organism in Eukaryota, Viridiplantae, Streptophyta, Magnoliopsida, Caryophyllales, Amaranthaceae.